UGAGGUAGUGGUUUGUGUAGUUAGGGGCAGUAAUGUUGCCCAUCGGAGAUAACUAUGCAAUCUACUGCCUUGC
RNAcentral lists this microRNA precursor (73 nucleotides) under Microcaecilia unicolor. RNAcentral describes it as "Mun-Let-7-P2c4_pre stem-loop". It matches the Rfam family "let-7 microRNA precursor family", at positions 7 to 78 of the family's 84-position model. From Rfam's summary of the family: This family represents the microRNAs (miRNA) let-7 and mir-98. let-7 was identified from a study of developmental timing in C. elegans, and was later shown to be part of a much larger class of non-coding RNAs termed miRNAs. The extents of the hairpin precursors are not generally known and are estimated based on hairpin prediction. The products are thought to have regulatory roles through complementarity to mRNA. The record is from RNAcentral. Lineage: Eukaryota; Metazoa; Chordata; Amphibia; Gymnophiona; Siphonopidae.